Molecule: long non-coding RNA, 1066 nt
Filed under: Ananas comosus (pineapple)
Lineage: Eukaryota; Viridiplantae; Streptophyta; Magnoliopsida; Poales; Bromeliaceae
Description: long non-coding RNA (ACOM_LNC017150)
Source: RNAcentral
UUAGUAAUGUUUGUUAUUAGACAAAAAAAAAAUAUAUAUUUGAUAAUUCUAUUGUUAAUGUGACUUUAUGUGUUGUUUGGUUAAUGAUAUUGUUUAUAAAUGAAUUUUUAGAUUGAAAUUUAGUUAUUCUUGUAUGAUCAUAUGAUUAUGUAAUAUGGUCUGUCUUUAUUUAUUCUUAUAUAGGUUGAAAUUAAUUUUUUCGCUUUAUAAUUUUUUUUUUCAUGUGCGAUUUUUUUUAUUUUUAUUGCUUGUUAAUAAAAUUAAUUCAAGUGUUUAGGUCUUUGAUGCCACCAAGCCUUUUGGCACUUGCUCUAGGGACGAUCGGUCUUUGAUGCCAAUUUUGAUCUUAACUUCUGAGUGACUUACAAAGUUUAAAAGGACAAAUAGGUAACUAUAAAACUAUACAAAAAAAAUCUGAUAUUAUUUAAAAAUUUAAGCUAUUAGAGAAUGAUAAUUUUUGUAUUUUAUUUUCAAUACUCCCCCUCAAAUCUGGCUCGAGAUUUUGAUAAGCCAAAGAUGCGGAUUUGGAUUGAAUGGGAGGAAAUUAAAUGAGAUUUUUGAUAAGCCGAAAAUGAAGAUUUGAAUUAAAUGGGAGAAAAAUUAAAUGAGACUACGAGCCUAAUGGGGUUUGAAUCACAGACAGUCAGUUUGGGCUUGAGAUUUCUGAUAAGUCGAUAACGUGGAUUCGAAUUAAAUGGAAGAAAAUUAAACGAGAAUUUUUAUAAGCCCAAGAUGCGGAUUCGAAUUAAACUGAAGAAAAUUAAAUAAGACCAGGAGCCCGGUGAGAUUUGAACUCAAUCAAUCUAGGGUCGAGAUUUUUGAUAAGUCCAUGAUAUAGAUUCAAAUAAAACAGGAAAACAUUAAAAAAGAUCUUUGAUAAGCUCAAGACGUGAAUUUGAAUUAACUGGGAGAAAAUUAAAUGAGAUUAGAAGCGGUUUAUAUUUUAUUUUAAUCCAACUAGGAAUCAACUACAAAUCUAACCAAAUUCUUACAAUAAUAUCACUCAUAAAAAAUACGCUCUUACUCCAAAAAAUACCUACAGAAGAUAAUUCAACAAUUUCAACAA